GUCUACAGCCAUGCCACUCUGAACAAGCCAGAUCCCAUCUGAUCUCGAAAGCUCAGUAGGGUCGGGCCUGGUUAGUACUUAGAUGGGAGACCACCUGGGAAGACCAGGUACUGUAGGCA
Molecule: ribosomal RNA, 119 nt
Filed under: Pteropus alecto (black flying fox)
Lineage: Eukaryota; Metazoa; Chordata; Mammalia; Chiroptera; Pteropodidae
Source: RNAcentral